GAAAAAAGUAUGCAAGAACUGCUAACUCUAUGCUCCCGUGUAUAAUAACACGGCUUUUUCGA
Molecule: transfer RNA, 62 nt
Filed under: Rucervus duvaucelii branderi
Lineage: Eukaryota; Metazoa; Chordata; Mammalia; Artiodactyla; Cervidae
Description: tRNA-Ser
Source: RNAcentral